RNAcentral lists this ribosomal RNA (1474 nucleotides) under metagenome. RNAcentral's name for it is "bacterial SSU rRNA". It matches the Rfam family "Bacterial small subunit ribosomal RNA". The record is from RNAcentral.
AGAGUUUGAUCCUGGCUCAGGACGAACGCUGGCGGCGUGCCUAACACAUGCAAGUCGAACGGACGAGGCCCCUUCGGGGACCGAGUUAGUGGCGGACGGGUGAGUAACGCGUGAGCAACCUGCCUUUCAGAGGGGGACAACAGUUGGAAACGACUGCUAAUACCGCAUGAUGCAGCGAGAUCGCAUGGUCUUGCUGUCAAAGAUUUAUCGCUGAAAGAUGGGCUCGCGUCUGAUUAGCUAGUUGGAGGGGUAACGGCCCACCAAGGCGACGAUCAGUAGCCGGACUGAGAGGUUGAACGGCCACAUUGGGACUGAGAUACGGCCCAGACUCCUACGGGAGGCAGCAGUGGGGAAUAUUGGGCAAUGGGGGAAACCCUGACCCAGCAACGCCGCGUGAAGGAAGAAGGCUUUCGGGUUGUAAACUUCUUUUACCAGGGACGAAGAACGUGACGGUACCUGGAGAAAAAGCCACGGCUAACUACGUGCCAGCAGCCGUGGUAAUACGUAGGUGGUAAGCGUUGUCCGGAUUUACUGGGUGUAAAGGGCGUGUAGGCGGAGCUGCAAGUCAGAUGUGAAAUCUGGGGGCUUAACCCUCAAACUGCAUUUGAAACUGUAGCCCUUGAGUAUCGGAGAGGCAGGCGGAAUUCCUAGUGUAGCGGUGAAAUGCGUAGAUAUUAGGAAGAACACCAGUGGCGAAGGCGGCCUGCUGGACGACAACUGACGCUGAGGCGCGAAAGCGUGGGGAGCAAACAGGAUUAGAUACCCUGGUAGUCCACGCUGUAAACGAUGAAUACUAGGUGUGGGGGGACUGACCCCCUCCGUGCCGGAGUUAACACAAUAAGUAUUCCACCUGGGGAGUACGACCGCAAGGUUGAAACUCAAAGGAAUUGACGGGGGCCCGCACAAGCAGUGGAUUAUGUGGUUUAAUUCGACGCAACGCGAAGAACCUUACCGGGAUUUGACAUCCUACUAACGAAGCAGAGAUGCAUUAGGUGCCCUUCGGGGAAAGUAGAGACAGGUGGUGCAUGGUUGUCGUCAGCUCGUGUCGUGAGAUGUUGGGUUAAGUCCCGCAACGAGCGCAACCCCUAUUGUUAGUUGCUACGCAAGAGCACUCUAGCGAGACUGCCGUUGACAAAACGGAGGAAGGCGGGGACGACGUCAAAUCAUCAUGCCCCUUAUGUCCCGGGCUACACACGUAAUACAAUGGCGGUCAACAAAGGGAAGCAAAGCCGCGAGGCAGAGCAAACCCCCAAAAGCCGUCUCAGUUCGGAUUGCAGGCUGCAACUCGCCUGCAUGAAGCUGGAAUUGCUAGUAAUCGUGGAUCAGAAUGCCACGGUGAAUACGUUCCCGGGCCUUGUACACACCGCCCGUCACACCAUGAGAGUCGGGAACACCCGAAGUCCGUAGUCUAACCCGCAAGGGAGGGCGCGGCCGAAGGUGGGUCUGAUAAUUGGGGUGAAGUCGUAACAAGGUA